CAAGUCGAACGAUGAAGCCCAGCUUGCUGGGUGGAUUAGUGGCGAACGGGUGAGUAACACGUGAGUAACCUGCCCUUGACUCUGGGAUAAGCGCUGGAAACGGCGUCUAAUACCGGAUACGACCUGCCCCGGCAUCGGGUGCGGGUGGAAAGUUUUUCGGUCAAGGAUGGACUCGCGGCCUAUCAGCUUGUUGGUGAGGUAAUGGCUCACCAAGGCGACGACGGGUAGCCGGCCUGAGAGGGUGACCGGCCACACUGGGACUGAGACACGGCCCAGACUCCUACGGGAGGCAGCAGUGGGGAAUAUUGCACAAUGGGCGAAAGCCUGAUGCAGCAACGCCGCGUGGGGGAUGACGGCCUUCGGGUUGUAAACCUCUUUUAGUAGGGAAGAAGGGCUUCGGCUUGACGGUACCUGCAGAAAAAGCACCGGCUAACUACGUGCCAGCAGCCGCGGUAAUACGUAGGGUGCAAGCGUUGUCCGGAAUUAUUGGGCGUAAAGAGCUCGUAGGCGGUUUGUCGCGUCUGCUGUGAAAACCCGAGGCUCAACCUCGGGCCUGCAGUGGGUACGGGCAGACUAGAGUGCGGUAGGGGAGAAUGGAAUUCCUGGUGUAGCGGUGGAAUGCGCAGAUAUCAGGAGGAACACCGAUGGCGAAGGCAGUUCUCUGGGCCGUUACUGACGCUGAGGAGCGAAAGCGUGGGGAGCGAACAGGAUUAGAUACCCUGGUAGUCCACGCCGUAAACGUUGGGAACUAGAUGUGGGGACCUUUCCACGGUCUCCGUGUCGC
This 784-nucleotide ribosomal RNA is filed under the name Rathayibacter tritici. Its description in RNAcentral is "bacterial SSU rRNA". It matches the Rfam family "Bacterial small subunit ribosomal RNA", at positions 58 to 849 of the family's 1533-position model. Lineage: Bacteria; Bacillati; Actinomycetota; Actinomycetes; Micrococcales; Microbacteriaceae. The record is from RNAcentral.